RNAcentral lists this long non-coding RNA (618 nucleotides) under Homo sapiens (human). RNAcentral describes it as "HSALNT0366557". The record is from RNAcentral. Lineage: Eukaryota; Metazoa; Chordata; Mammalia; Primates; Hominidae.
GCACUUCCUCCCAUCUGAGGUCCAUAAAAGCCUAGGGCUCAGCCAGAGUAAAGUAGAGGGCAGAGAAAAGCCCUGGGCUCAGCCAGAGAAGGGCAGAGGACAGAGGACUGAGAGAGGACUGGACAACCAGCUGCAAAGAGGAGCUACCUUCUCUGUGAGAGCUUCAGAGACCUGCAGAGACAUUGAAUGAACUGCCUGCAGAGAGGAGUCACCCUCUCCAAGGUCUUCGCUCUGCUAAGAACAGCAGACAAUGGGGCAACCAGUGGGCAGAGAGGAGCUACCCUCUUCAGAGCCUCCUCUCUGCUGAGAGCUGGACACUUGAUUGGAUGAUCUGCCUACAGAGAGGAGCAACCCACUGUGGAUUUUCUCUGAGCUGUAACACUCAAUAAAGCUCUUCUUUGUCUUGUUCACCUUCCACUUGUCUGCAUAGGCAGGAUUUGGCACCACUGGCAGUGACACUGUAACAUUUUGGGGGCUCAUCUGGGAUCUCCAAAAGGAGAACUGACAUGCUGUCCAAUAAACUUCCUUGUCCUCCUUAUGCAAGAAAGGAAAUCCUGACUUAAUGCGUAGCCACAGAACAAGUUAAAAGUGAAAUAUCUACACAAAUUAUUUGGAAUC